This 1119-nucleotide ribosomal RNA is filed under the name uncultured fungus. RNAcentral's name for it is "eukaryotic LSU rRNA". The stretch from base 488 to 1119 matches the Rfam family "Eukaryotic large subunit ribosomal RNA", at positions 1 to 649 of the family's 3401-position model. Lineage: Eukaryota; Fungi. The record is from RNAcentral.
AAGUCGUAACAAGGUUUCCGUAGGUGAACCUGCGGAAGGAUCAUUACCGUGGGGCUUCGGCCCCAUUGAGAUAGCACCCUUUGUUUAUGAGUACCCUUGUUUCCUCGGUGGGCUUGCCCGCCAUGAGGACAUUAAAAACCCUUUGUAGUAGCAGUAACUUCAGUUAAUAAUAAAUAUUAAAACUUUCAACAACGGAUCUCUUGGUUCUGGCAUCGAUGAAGAACGCAGCGAAAUGCGAUAAGUAGUGUGAAUUGCAGAAUUCAGUGAAUCAUCGAAUCUUUGAACGCACAUUGCGCCCUUCGGUAUUCCGUUGGGCAUGCCUGUUCGAGCGUCAUUUAAACCUUCAAGCUAUGCUUGGUGUUGGGUGUUUGUUCCGCCUCAGCGUGUGGACUCGCCUUAAAUUCAUUGGCAGCCGGUAUGUUGGCUUCGUGCGCAGCACAUUGCAAGCGAUUUCAGCAGACCCCCUUCCACAAGCCUUUUUUUACUUUGACCUCGGAUCAGGUAGGGAUACCCGCUGAACUUAAGCAUAUCAAUAAGCGGAGGAAAAGAAACCAACAGGGAUUGCCCCAGUAACGGCGAGUGAAGCGGCAAUAGCUCAAAUUUGAAAUCUGGCCCUUUCAGGGUCCGAGUUGUAAUUUGCAGAGGGCGCUUUGGUGUCGGCAGCAGCCUAAGUUCCUUGGAACAGGUCAUCAUAGAGGGUGAGAAUCCCGUAUGUGGCUGCUUGUCUUCACCGUGUAAAGCCCCUUCGAUGAGUCGAGUUGUUUGGGAAUGCAGCUCUAAAUGGGAGGUAAAUUUCUUCUAAAGCUAAAUAUUGGCCAGAGACCGAUAGCGCACAAGUAGAGUGAUCGAAAGAUGAAAAGCACUUUGGAAAGAGAGUCAAAAAGCACGUGAAAUUGUUGAAAGGGAAGCGCUUGCAGCCAGACGUGCCCGUAGUUGCUCAUCUGGGGUUUUCCCCAGUGCACUCUUCUAUGGGCAGGCCAGCAUCAGUUCGGGCGGUUGGAGAAAGACCUGUGUCACGUAGCUCUCUUCGGGGAGUGUUAUAGGGCAGGUGGAAUGCAACCAGCCUGAACUGAGGUCCGCGCAUCUGCUAGGAUGCUGGCGUAAUGGCUGUAAGCGGCC